Molecule: small nuclear RNA, 111 nt
Organism: Ochotona princeps (American pika)
Lineage: Eukaryota; Metazoa; Chordata; Mammalia; Lagomorpha; Ochotonidae
Product: U5 spliceosomal RNA
Exons: 1
Source: RefSeq, a predicted model, not a curated record
AUAGGUGUCUCUUCAGAUCAUAUUAAUCUUUUGCCUUUUAUAAAAGAUUUCUGUGGAGUGGAACAAUUCAGACUCUUGACCCAAUUUCUGAGGCCUUAUUUCAGCAAGGCU